CUUUGAUGUUCUGAAAUUCUCAGCCGCCUUCCGAGAAAAACAAUUUCUUUUUAAUUAUUUUAUUUUCAUAACAAUCAAACAACGUUUUUCAAUAUGUACCAACUACUUGUGCAGUAAAAACCAUUUUACCGCGAAAUAUUACAAGACAUACAUGAGUUGUUCCCCAUGUUAAACACGUGGAUAUACGUUAUGUGCCCUCUUUAAACUGCUUACCGCUAACAAGAUAAACAUCACGGUGCUAUUGCACCAUGUCUAAAAUUAUCACAAGUCAUUACACUAUCAGAAUAAAAUACUUUUAUUCACUUAAAAAUUCUAUAACCUUCACAAUAUAAUAAAAUGUUUCAACUUACUCAGUACUGGAAGUGUUUUCCAACUCCAUAUUUGGUUGCUCUGGCGUCUCCAUCUGAUUUUGCAGAAGUGAUGAAACUGAUUUUGAUCCAUCUUUUAUUUACCAUGUAAUAUGAUACUAAAACUACGUCAUGCUGUCUCCAGCCUCGAGUUAAAGGCAGCAUUAGUGACUUUAAGCCUUAUGUUACAGUUCUAUGUAAUAUAGGCAUUUUCUAGUAAUAUUACUGUUUUAUGUA
This 584-nucleotide long non-coding RNA is filed under the name Mytilus galloprovincialis (Mediterranean mussel). The record is from RNAcentral. Lineage: Eukaryota; Metazoa; Mollusca; Bivalvia; Mytilida; Mytilidae.